RNAcentral lists this ribosomal RNA (251 nucleotides) under uncultured Bacteroidota bacterium. RNAcentral's name for it is "uncultured Bacteroidetes bacterium partial 16S ribosomal RNA". It matches the Rfam family "Bacterial small subunit ribosomal RNA", at positions 87 to 339 of the family's 1533-position model. The record is from RNAcentral. Lineage: Bacteria; Pseudomonadati; Bacteroidota.
GAUGGCGACCGGCGCACGGGUGAGUAACGCGUAUGCAACCUGCCCGAUACCGGGGUAUAGCCCAUGGAAACGUGGAUUAACACCCCAUAGUACUUUUAUCCUGCCUGGGAUGGGAGUUAAAUGUUCAAGGUAUCGGAUGGGCAUGCGUCCUAUUAGUUAGUUGGCGGGGUAACAGCCCACCAAGACGAUGAUAGGUAGGGGUUCUGAGAGGAAGGUCCCCCACAUUGGAACUGAGACACGGUCCAAACUCC